RNAcentral lists this ribosomal RNA (253 nucleotides) under uncultured bacterium. Its description in RNAcentral is "partial 16S ribosomal RNA". It matches the Rfam family "Bacterial small subunit ribosomal RNA", at positions 524 to 776 of the family's 1533-position model. The record is from RNAcentral.
CACGUAGGGCGCAAGCGUUGUCCGGAAUUAUUGGGCGUAAAGAGCUUGUAGGCGGUUUGUCGCGUCUGCCGUGAAAGUCCGGGGCUCAACUCCGGAUCUGCGGUGGGUACGGGCAGACUAGAGUGAUGUAGGGGAGACUGGAAUUCCUGGUGUAGCGGUGAAAUGCGCAGAUAUCAGGAGGAACACCGAUGGCGAAGGCAGGUCUCUGGGCAUUAACUGACGCUGAGGAGCGAAAGCAUGGGGAGCGAACAGG